This 629-nucleotide ribosomal RNA is filed under the name uncultured Hyphomicrobiales bacterium. RNAcentral's name for it is "bacterial SSU rRNA". It matches the Rfam family "Bacterial small subunit ribosomal RNA", at positions 126 to 789 of the family's 1533-position model. The record is from RNAcentral. Lineage: Bacteria; Pseudomonadati; Pseudomonadota; Alphaproteobacteria; Hyphomicrobiales.
CUACCUUGAGCUACGGGAUAACAGAGAGAAAUUUCUGCUAAUACCGUAUGUGGCCUUUGGGCGAAAGAUUUAUCGGCUUAAGAUGAGCCCGCGUUGGAUUAGCUGGUUGGUGGGGUAAAGGCCUACCAAGGCGACGAUCCAUAGCUGGUCUGAGAGGAUGAUCAGCCACACUGGGACUGAGACACGGCCCAGACUCCUACGGGAGGCAGCAGUGGGGAAUAUUGGACAAUGGGCGCAAGCCUGAUCCAGCCAUGCCGCGUGAGUGAAGAAGGCCUUAGGGUUGUAAAGCUCUUUCACCGGUGAAGAUAAUGACGGUAGCCGGAGAAGAAGCCCCGGCUAACUUCGUGCCAGCAGCCGCGGUAAUACGAAGGGGGCUAGCGUUGUUCGGAUUUACUGGGCGUAAAGCGCGCGUAGGCGGAUAGAUAAGUCAGAGGUGAAAUCCCGGGGCUCAACCCCGGAAUUGCCUUUGAUACUGUUUAUCUUGAGUGCAGAAGAGGUAAGUGGAAUUCCGAGUGUAGAGGUGAAAUUCGUAGAUAUUCGGAGGAACACCAGUGGCGAANGCGGCUUACUGGUCUGCAACUGACGCUGANGCGCGAAAGCGUGGGGNGCAAACAGGAUUAGAUACCCUG